This 451-nucleotide ribosomal RNA is filed under the name Leptestheria kawachiensis. RNAcentral's name for it is "partial 12S ribosomal RNA". The record is from RNAcentral. Lineage: Eukaryota; Metazoa; Arthropoda; Branchiopoda; Diplostraca; Leptestheriidae.
UUUAUAUAAACAAUUAAAAGUGAAAUUUUCAAAUGAAUUGACAAAAGACAAAAGAAUUAAUCUUACUCUAUAUAAAUGAGAAAAUAAACUAGGAUUAGAUACCCUACUAUUCUCAUCAAUUUUUGCCCGGGUAGUAAAAGAGAAUCUUCAAACCCAAAGAAUUUGACGGCAUCUCAUCUUACCAGAGGAACCUGCCCCAUAAUCGAUAACCCACGUUAAACCUUACUUUCCCUAAUUAAGCCUGUAUACCGCCGUUGCCAGAUAAUUUUCAAAAAACAUUAUCUAAAUUAAGAUUUUUAUGGACUUCAGGUCAAGGUGCAGCUUAUGAGAAAGAGGAGGUGGGUUACAAUAAUUUUUAUUUACACGAAAAGUAUAUGAAAACAAACUGGAAGGUGGAUUUGGUAGUAAAUAUAGUUUAGCAAACCAUAUUGAAAAGAGCCCUGAGAUGUGU